This is a long non-coding RNA of Sinocyclocheilus rhinocerous, 105 nucleotides long. RefSeq lists it as uncharacterized. The transcript is spliced from 3 exons. Lineage: Eukaryota; Metazoa; Chordata; Actinopteri; Cypriniformes; Cyprinidae. The record is from RefSeq and is a predicted model, not a curated record.
UGCAAUGCAAGGCGUAAAAACACAGUAGAAGUCAUUAUAAUUACUAAUUAUGUCCCCACUGGAUGCAACAAAUGCCUCGUUUGUAAUGGGUUUUAUUGGUUUUGU